Molecule: non-coding RNA, 566 nt
Organism: Cricetulus griseus (Chinese hamster)
Lineage: Eukaryota; Metazoa; Chordata; Mammalia; Rodentia; Cricetidae
Source: RefSeq, a predicted model, not a curated record
AUAAAAGGUCACAGGACAGGACUCCCUCUUCCGGAAACCAACUCAGGGAAAGGAAGCAGUGAGACUCUUAAGAGUCACAUCAGCUCAGCUUCUUCUGGGAAGCCCUGGAAGCUAUGGAACAGCAAUCGUGACAAAGGCAGAAAGGGUGAGUGGGUAAAGCCUUGCAGGCCAGAGUACCAUGCCUGGAUUUCUAUGUGCAUUCUGGGGAUUUGAAGAUGUUAAAAAGUCCAAGGAAGAUGGGCAAUGUGGCACACAUCUGUGGUCCCAGUACCAGAAGGGGUCUAACGCAGGUUGACCAUCAGGCUUUUACCCACUGAGCCGUAUCACUGGAUGCCAUCUUGGUUUUCGAGCCAAGGUCUCUCACUGGCUGGGCUACCUGGCCAGCAAGUCCCAGGGAUCCACUUCUCUCUGCCUCUCCAGUUCUUCAAUUAUAAACAUGUGUCUCCAUGCUCAAAUUUUGUGUGUGCAUGUGUGUGUGUGUUCCUAUUGUAAAAUAUUUAACUAUGUAAAUAUGUAUGACAUUUGUUUAUGCUGUGGGCUAUUACUUUAACUGUGUAAAGCUGUGU